GUUUACAGCCAUACUCUUCUGAACACACUUAGCCUCGUCUGACCUCAGAAGCUAAGCAGAGAUGUGUAGUCCUUGCUGGUAAAUGGAUGUUGUGACAC
Molecule: ribosomal RNA, 98 nt
Filed under: Mesocricetus auratus (golden hamster)
Lineage: Eukaryota; Metazoa; Chordata; Mammalia; Rodentia; Cricetidae
Source: RNAcentral